Molecule: ribosomal RNA, 450 nt
Filed under: uncultured Chromatiales bacterium
Lineage: Bacteria; Pseudomonadati; Pseudomonadota; Gammaproteobacteria; Chromatiales
Description: bacterial SSU rRNA
Rfam family: Bacterial small subunit ribosomal RNA
Source: RNAcentral
UGGGUAGUCCGUACGAGCGCACCCUAUCCUUAGUUGCCAUCAGUUCGGCUGGGAACUCUAGGGAGACUGCCGGUGACAAACCGGAGGAAGGUGGGGACGACGUCAAGUCAUCAUGGCCCUUAUGGGCAGGGCUACACACGUGCUACAAUGGCCGGUACAAAGGGCAGCGAAGCCGCAAGGUGGAGCGAAUCUCACAAAACCGGUCGUAGUCCGGAUUGCAGUCUGCAACUCGACUGCAUGAAGCUGGAAUCGCUAGUAAUCGUGGAUCAGAAUGCCGCGGUGAAUACGUUCCCGGGCCUUGUACACACCGCCCGUCACACCAUGGGAGUGGGCUGUACCAGAAGUAGGUAGUCUAACCUUCGGGAGGACGCUUACCACGGUGUGGUUCAUGACUGGGGUGAAGUCGUAGCAAGGUAGCCCUAGGGGAACCUGGGGCUGGAUCACCUCCUU